RNAcentral lists this transfer RNA (82 nucleotides) under Felis catus (domestic cat). It matches the Rfam family "tRNA". Rfam says of the family: Transfer RNA (tRNA) molecules are approximately 80 nucleotides in length. Lineage: Eukaryota; Metazoa; Chordata; Mammalia; Carnivora; Felidae. RNAcentral also lists the same sequence under 1 other name. The record is from Rfam by way of RNAcentral.
GCUCAGUUGGUUGAGCAUCCAACUCUUGAUUUCAGCUCAGGUUAUGAUCCCAAGUUUGUGGGAUCGAGCCCCAUAUUGGGCU